RNAcentral lists this ribosomal RNA (207 nucleotides) under uncultured bacterium. RNAcentral describes it as "partial 16S ribosomal RNA". It matches the Rfam family "Bacterial small subunit ribosomal RNA", at positions 568 to 774 of the family's 1533-position model. The record is from RNAcentral.
CACGUAGGUGGCUCUUUAAGUCAGAUGUGAAAGCCCCGGGCUUAACCUGGGAAAGUCAUCUGAUACUGGAGGGCUAGAGUACAGUAGAGGGUAGUGGAAUUUCAGGUGUAGCGGUGAAAUGCGUAGAUAUCUGAAGGAACAUCAGUAGCGAAGGCGGCUACCUGGACUGAUACUGACACUGAGGUGCGAAAGCGUGGGGAGCAAACA